UUUAAAAAUUUAAAAGCGACGGGCAAUAUGUAUAUAUUUAAAUUUAAAAUUUAAAAAUUAAAUUUUUAAUUUUUUUAAUUUUAAAUCCAAUUUCAAAAUUUUUUUUACAAAAAUAAUUCCAACAAUUUUUGUAAAAUAGUAUUUCAUUAAUAAUUUAAUUAUUUAAUAUAUUAUGAUUUGAAAUAAUUUAUUUUUAAAAAUUUUAAAUAAUAAAUUUAAAUAAUUAUUUUAACAACAAUAUAUAAUUUAAUAAACUAAAUAAAUUAUAUUGUGUACUAUCAAUUAAAAAACAAAAUCCUCUAAUUUUAUUAAAUACUACCAAAUUAAUUAAUUUUAUUAAAAUUAAUAAUAAUAAUCAUAAUUUUUAAAAAAAAAUAAUA
RNAcentral lists this ribosomal RNA (380 nucleotides) under Schizomyia asteris. Its description in RNAcentral is "partial 12S ribosomal RNA". The record is from RNAcentral. RNAcentral also lists the same sequence under 1 other name. Lineage: Eukaryota; Metazoa; Arthropoda; Insecta; Diptera; Cecidomyiidae.